Molecule: ribosomal RNA, 1384 nt
Filed under: uncultured bacterium
Lineage: Bacteria
Description: 16S ribosomal RNA
Rfam family: Bacterial small subunit ribosomal RNA
Source: RNAcentral
GACGAACGCUGGCGGCGUGCUUAACACAUGCAAGUCGAACGGAAAGGCCCUGCUUUUGUGGGGUGCUCGAGUGGCGAACGGGUGAGUAACACGUGAGUAACCUGCCCUUGACUUUGGGAUAACUUCAGGAAACUGGGGCUAAUACCGGAUAGGAGCUCCUGCUGCAUGGUGGGGGUUGGAAAGUUUCGGCGGUUGGGGAUGGACUCGCGGCUUAUCAGCUUGUUGGUGGGGUAGUGGCUUACCAAGGCUUUGACGGGUAGCCGGCCUGAGAGGGUGACCGGCCACAUUGGGACUGAGAUACGGCCCAGACUCCUACGGGAGGCAGCAGUGGGGAAUAUUGCACAAUGGGCGGAAGCCUGAUGCAGCAACGCCGCGUGCGGGAUGACGGCCUUCGGGUUGUAAACCGCUUUCGCCUGUGACGAAGCGUGAGUGACGGUAAUGGGUAAAGAAGCACCGGCUAACUACGUGCCAGCAGCCGCGGUGAUACGUAGGGUGCGAGCGUUGUCCGGAUUUAUUGGGCGUAAAGGGCUCGUAGGUGGUUGAUCGCGUCGGAAGUGUAAUCUUGGGGCUUAACCCUGAGCGUGCUUUCGAUACGGGUUGACUUGAGGAAGGUAGGGGAGAAUGGAAUUCCUGGUGGAGCGGUGGAAUGCGCAGAUAUCAGGAGGAACACCAGUGGCGAAGGCGGUUCUCUGGGCCUUUCCUGACGCUGAGGAGCGAAAGCGUGGGGAGCGAACAGGCUUAGAUACCCUGGUAGUCCACGCUGUAAACGGUGGGUACUAGGUGUGGGGUCCAUUCCACGGGUUCCGUGCCGUAGCUAACGCUUUAAGUACCCCGCCUGGGGAGUACGGCCGCAAGGCUAAAACUCAAAGGAAUUGACGGGGCCCCGCACAAGCGGCGGAGCAUGCGGAUUAAUUCGAUGCAACGCGUAGAACCUUACCUGGGUUUGACAUGGAUCGGGAGUGCUCAGAGAUGGGUGUGCCUCUUUUGGGGUCGGUUCACAGGUGGUGCAUGGCUGUCGUCAGCUCGUGUCGUGAGAUGUUGGGUUAAGUCCCGCAACGAGCGCAACCCUUGUUCACUGUUGCCAGCACGUUAUGGUGGGGACUCAGUGGAGACCGCCGGGGUCAACUCGGAGGAAGGUGGGGAUGACGUCAAGUCAUCAUGCCCCUUAUGUCCAGGGCUUCACGCAUGCUACAAUGGCUGGUACAGAGAGUGGCGAGCCUGCGAGGGUGAGCGAAUCUCGGAAAACCGGUCUCAGUUCGGAUUGGGGUCUGCAACUCGACCUCAUGAAGUCGGAGUCGCUAGUAAUCGCAGAUCAGCAACGCUGCGGUGAAUACGUUCCCGGGGCUUGUACACACCGCCCGUCAAGUCAUGAAAGUUGGUAACA